RNAcentral lists this ribosomal RNA (433 nucleotides) under uncultured bacterium. RNAcentral's name for it is "partial 16S ribosomal RNA". It matches the Rfam family "Bacterial small subunit ribosomal RNA", at positions 29 to 507 of the family's 1533-position model. The record is from RNAcentral.
AACGAACGCUGGCGGCAUGCCUAACACAUGCAAGUCGAACGAGACCUUCGGGUCUAGUGGCGCACGGGUGCGUAACGCGUGGGAACCUGCCCUUAGGUUCGGAAUAACUCCCCGAAAGGGGUGCUAAUACCGGAUAAUGUCUUCGGACCAAAGAUUUAUCGCCUUUGGAUGGGCCCGCGUUGGAUUAGCUAGUUGGUAGGGUAAAAGCCUACCAAGGCGACGAUCCAUAGCUGGUCUGAGAGGAUGAUCAGCCACACUGGGACUGAGACACGGCCCAGACUCCUACGGAAGGCAGCAGUGGGGAAUAUUGGACAAUGGGCGAAAGCCUGAUCCAGCAAUGCCGGGUGAGUGAUGAAGGCCUUAGGGUUGUAAAGCUCUUUUACCCGGGAUGAUAAUGACAGUACCGGGAGAAUAAGCUCCGGCUAACUCCGUG